GCCCCAUAAUCAGCCUUAAGUAAACACAGGGGAGGGUGAUAAUAUGACUAGAUUGAGCACUGCAAAUUCCCUUAAAUACCAGUCAUGUCAUGGUACUCGCCUCCUCGCCCCCUGUCCUGCUGGCCUUUGGAUGGGAUGGCCUCUUCAUCGCCUCUCAUCAUACUUACCACUUCCCCACUAACUCCCCCCUUGCCUCCCCUUUCCAUUAUACUGCACCUGCUGGAAACUCCCACUGCCUCCAACACCCUAUAGUGGUAGUAGUAACAGUAGAGGAGAGCAAAAAAAGAAAAAAAAACAUAAAAAUAAUAAUAGUAACACAACAGAAAAUAAUAGUAACUAUUCCAUUAAACAACAUAAAUAUAAUAAUAGUCACUAUUCCAUGGUGAUGGAAUGCUGUUCCAGUAGGUUGGAAUACUUGCAGAUUGAUUUUUCACUCAUAUUCAAAUAUAUGAAUAUACGGGCAGUUUUGAGCGGAUUGCAUGAUAUAAAACGUUUUUCAUUAGAGUUGGGCUUAUGAAGAGUCCGGUGCGGUUGAAUUGCGUCAGCAGGCGGAAAGAGGAGAGACCCGACCAUUGCCAUGAAGUCUAGAGUGAUCCCCAAAGACAAACACAAAAGUAAUUAAUGAACAAAAAUAAUAGUAGUAAUAAUAAUAAUAAUAAUAAUACUAAUUAGCACCACCCCAGAUUUCACUGUGAAAGUAAUCUGUAAAACGUACUGUUGGAAGGCGGCGUAUAGAUUGUUGACUCUGCGACGAGGAAAGGUGGGCAGAUUAAACAGGAUCUUGCGGACUUGGCCAGUGCGGAGCACAAUUCAUAGCCAUGUAUGUGUUUAUUCACUGCGAGUUCGACAAGGUUAAGUCUAGCAGGUUAGUAGCAUCAGCGAGGGGGGUUCAAUUACCUCUGCACUACACCAGAAUGCGCCUGAAAUGCUGACAACCUCUUUAGGAGUUAUAAGAGGCUGUAACCAAGGUACCCUGGUACAAUGAUAAGUAUCAUGUUGAAGCAAGUCGAUUACAAUGCUUGUGGUCCAUUACUCUAAAUUCCGAUUCACUGAAAAAUAUGUGGUUGAUUGAUGAGGUUGGCAUUGCCCCAAC
RNAcentral lists this long non-coding RNA (1093 nucleotides) under Physcomitrium patens. RNAcentral describes it as "long non-coding RNA (PPAT_LNC004218)". The record is from RNAcentral. Lineage: Eukaryota; Viridiplantae; Streptophyta; Bryopsida; Funariales; Funariaceae.